Molecule: ribosomal RNA, 460 nt
Filed under: uncultured bacterium
Lineage: Bacteria
Description: partial 16S ribosomal RNA
Rfam family: Bacterial small subunit ribosomal RNA
Source: RNAcentral
CCUACGGGUGGCAGCAGUGAGGAAUAUUGGACAAUGGACGAGAGUCUGAACCAGCCAAGUAGCGUGAAGGAUGAAUGCCCUAUGGGUUGUAAACUUCUUUUAUAUGGGAAUAAAAUGUUCCACGUGUGGGCUUUUGUAUGUACCAUAUGAAUAAGGAACGGCUAACUCCGUGCCAGCAGCCGCGGUAAUACGGAGGAUCCGAGCGUUAUCCGGAUUUAUUGGGUUUAAAGGGAGCGUAGGUGGAUUGUUAAGUCAGUUGUGAAAGGUUGGGGCUCAACCGUAAAAGUGCAGUUGAAACUGGCAGUCUGGAGUACAGUAGAGGUGGGCGGAAUUCGUGGUGUAGCGGUGAAAUGCUUAGAUAUCACGAAGAACUCCGAUUGCGAAGGCAGCUCACUGGACUGCAACUGACACUGAGGCUCGAAAGUGUGGGUAUCAAACAGGAUUAGAUACCCGGGUAGUC